RNAcentral lists this ribosomal RNA (468 nucleotides) under uncultured bacterium. RNAcentral's name for it is "partial 16S ribosomal RNA". It matches the Rfam family "Bacterial small subunit ribosomal RNA", at positions 28 to 507 of the family's 1533-position model. The record is from RNAcentral.
GACGAACGCUGGCGGCGUGCUUAACACAUGCAAGUCGAACGGAAACGCCCUGCUUUUGUGGUGUUCUCGAUUGUCGAACGGGUGUGUAACACGUGUGUAACCUGCCCUUGACUUUGGGAUAUCUUCAGGAGACUGGGGCUCUUACCCCGUAUAAGCUCCUGAUGCAUGUUGGUUGUUGGAAAAUUCCGGCGGUUGGUGCUGGACUCGCGGCUAAUCGGCUUGUUGGUGGGGUAUUGGCUGACCACGGCUUUGACGGGUAGCCGACAUUAGAGGGUGACCGGCGACAAUGGUCCUGAGAGACGGAGCAGAAGGCUAUGGGAGGCAGCAGUGGGGAAUAUGGCAGAGUGGGCGGAAGUCAGAGGAAGCAAUGCCGGGUGCGGGAUGCCGGGUUGUGGGUUGUAAACAGCUGUUGGAGGAAAUGAAGGGGGAGUGACGGUAACGGGUAAAGAAGCACCGGCUAACUACGUG